UCCCAGCCUCCUCUCACCAACCAAGAU
Molecule: non-coding RNA, 27 nt
Filed under: Mus musculus (house mouse)
Lineage: Eukaryota; Metazoa; Chordata; Mammalia; Rodentia; Muridae
Source: RNAcentral